RNAcentral lists this unclassified non-coding RNA (213 nucleotides) under uncultured Glomus. Its description in RNAcentral is "sequence contains ITS2". Lineage: Eukaryota; Fungi; Glomeromycota; Glomeromycetes; Glomerales; Glomeraceae. The record is from RNAcentral.
UUAAUAAAAAUCGGCGUGUUGCUUUUUUGUGAUGCUCCGGAGUUUGGGUCAUCUUAUAAUAAUACCUUUCAAGUGUUUUUAAGAGGCUUAAAAUUGACAUCUUUUUUGCGCAUUUUUUGACGUACAUAAAUUUUUUUAUUCGUUUAUUCUAAUGCCCAAAAUCUAUUAGAUGCGACCAUAUCGUGUGGUUCCGUGUCUAUAAAUUUUUUCAUG